AUGUAUAUGUAUAAAUAAAAACAACAAUAACAAUAAUUAUUAAACAAUCAUGGCAGCGCAUUCUUUGGCCAGCGGGACCAGGAAAACUGUUGUUGGUAUGCGAUGGUUGGUCAGUGCAAUUCUUCGCCGUAUGUAUGUAUUAUAUACACAUCGAAUU
Molecule: ribosomal RNA, 157 nt
Filed under: Heterosigma akashiwo
Lineage: Eukaryota; Raphidophyceae; Chattonellales; Chattonellaceae
Description: partial Trypanosomatid mitochondrial large subunit ribosomal RNA
Source: RNAcentral